Salmo salar (Atlantic salmon) is the source of this 58-nucleotide non-coding RNA. The record is from Rfam. NCBI's taxonomy places the organism in Eukaryota, Metazoa, Chordata, Actinopteri, Salmoniformes, Salmonidae.
UAGCUCAGUUGGUAGAGCAUGGUGUUUGCAACGCCAGGGUUGUGGGUUCGAUUCCGAC